RNAcentral lists this ribosomal RNA (431 nucleotides) under uncultured bacterium. RNAcentral's name for it is "partial 16S ribosomal RNA". It matches the Rfam family "Bacterial small subunit ribosomal RNA", at positions 29 to 507 of the family's 1533-position model. The record is from RNAcentral.
AACGAACGCUGGCGGCAGGCUUAACACAUGCCAGUCGAACGCCCCGCAAGGGGAGUGGCAGACGGGUGAGUAACGCGUGGGAACAUACCCUUUUCUACGGAAUAGCUCUGGGAAACUGGAAUUAAUACCGUAUACGCCCUACGGGGGAAAGAUUUAUCGGGGAAGGAUUGGCCCGCGUUGGAUUAGCUAGUUGGUGGGGUAAAGGCCUACCAAGGCGACGAUCCAUAGCUGGUCUGAGAGGAUGAUCAGCCACAUUGGGACUGAGACACGGCCCAAACUCCUACAGGAGGCAGCAGUGGGGAAUAUUGGACAAUGGGCGCAAGCCUGAUCCAGCCAUGCCGCGUGAGUGAUGAAGGCCUUAGGGUUGUAAAGCUCUUUCACCGAUGAAGAUAAUGACGGUAGUCGGAGAAGAAGCCCCGGCUAACUUCGUG